Molecule: unclassified non-coding RNA, 371 nt
Filed under: Hevea brasiliensis (rubber tree)
Lineage: Eukaryota; Viridiplantae; Streptophyta; Magnoliopsida; Malpighiales; Euphorbiaceae
Source: RNAcentral
AUUGCCUAAUUGUACUCUCUUCUCGAAUUCUCUACCAAAACAAAACAAAUCCCAGUUCUUGAUUUAUUGUACUAGUUAUAAUCUACCUUUCUUGCUCCUCCUUCUUCUUCAAUGUCUUCCUAUACCAGAUCACACUCAUCUCAGCAGUCCUAUGCCCCCUCUGCUCCAUCCCUGACCGAGUCUUAUAACCAGCAGGACCACGCUUACAAUAGUUUCCCUCCUCCUCCAAGUGACGACAGGCGGCGGCAGCAGCAUCAGCCGCCGCCUUCUUAUGCGGCAGGAUAUGGCCAGGGUGAGUACUCAUAUGGGUACUCUGGUUUUCCACCGGGAACACAUCCAGACGUGAUUAGGAGCUUUCAGAUGGUGGAUAG